AGCAGCCGCGGUAAUUCCAGCUCCAAUAGCGUAUAUUAAAGUUGCUGCAGUUAAAAGCUCGUAGUUGAAUUUCGGGACUAAUAUGUCGGUCGUGCCUCGGUACGUACUGGCUUAUUGGUUUCUCCUUUCUGAAGAACCAUGAUGUCAUUUAUUUGGUGUCGUGGGGAAUCAGGACUGUUACUUUGAAAAAUUAGAGUGUUUAAAGCAGGCUCACGCUUGAAUACAUUAGCAUGGAAUAAUGAAAUAGGACGUUUGAUUCUAUUUUGUUGGUUUCUAGGAUCGACGUAAUGAUUAAUAGGGAUAGUUGGGGGCAUUAGUAUUCAAUUGUCAGAGGUGAAAUUCUUGGAUUUAUUGAAGACUAACUACUGCGAAAGCAUUUGCCAAGGAUGUUUUCAUUAAUCAAGAACGAAAGUUAGGGGAUCGAAGACGAUCAGAUACCGUCGUAGUCUUAACCAUAAACUAUGCCGACUAGGGGUCGGAUGAUGUUAAUUUUUUAAUGUACUCAUUCGGCGCCUUACGG
This 520-nucleotide unclassified non-coding RNA is filed under the name uncultured Glomus. RNAcentral describes it as "SSU rRNA". It matches the Rfam family "Eukaryotic small subunit ribosomal RNA", at positions 569 to 1093 of the family's 1831-position model. The record is from RNAcentral. Lineage: Eukaryota; Fungi; Glomeromycota; Glomeromycetes; Glomerales; Glomeraceae.